AGCUGUGGCUUUAGCUAUUUUCCCUGCACAACCCCAAAUACCAGCAGAGCUGGGCCUCUGGGUAGACAGACAGGGGGUCUCCUGGGCUGAGUCGAUGGGGAGAGGGUGGAAUGGAGCAGAGUGUCAAUAGGAAUAGCCUCCCUUGUUGAGGGCCUUACUCGUUGUCUCAAUAAAUCCUGAAAAAGCUAUGAUUUUACAGAUGAGGAGACUGAGGCUCAGCGAGGUGAAGUUACUUACUUGCUCCAGUCACACAGUGGUGGGAAGAAGGGUCUUGACCGCAGCCCCAUAUCUGUUUGUUGAAUCAAGGAGGAGACAGUGGACAAUGGAGGAACCCUGAGUUAUGUGGGUUGGGUCGGUUGCCUCCCCAACCCCAACCCUGGGAUGAGAGGUGGGGGUGGUGGACACCAUAUCAGCAGCAUCUGGGGUUGGGGUAUGGUUAGUAGCUCCCAAAGUAUGGGAAAGGGGAACCCUGUCAUCCUUACAGACCACCCCUGAGUCAAGAAGCCUCCCGGGGUGGCAAAUGAGCAUCCAGCUGACUUCCGCAGCCUCAGGCGGCGGGGUGGGCUGGGCGUUACAUCCUGCAGCCCCGCCCACGGGGUGCGGCCAGAGCAGCACCGCCCAGCCCCAAGCAGACGCCCACCGGCCUCCUCCCUGGGACUGCCCUGCACCCGGACCCACUGGGUCAGUCGUGUACAGUCUGGAAGAGACAGCACUCUCAGUGCGCCUCCCGGACUCCUGGCAUCCAGGAGCACCGUCUCCAGGGAGCCCACCAGGGCACAGCGGGAGCCAUCUCGGUCUCCCCACGCGAGGACCCACUAGUUUCGAGGUCCGAAAGGUAGAAGGCAGAGCCCUCCGCUGGAAAAGGCUCUGUUCUAGGCACCGGGAAUACAUCAGCUGGAAGAAUUUCUGCAUCCUGCAGACACGGAGGAAGAGCUCCCGAGACCCCUGCAUCGCACGGUUCCUUCCUGCUGCCAGCAGUUUGGGAGGCAAGAGCAUCUGUGUCUCAGAGGAUUUGUUCUCCCAUCUCAGCCCCCCUUUGGGAAAAGCCGUUUUUCUCGCCUCUCAGAAGUGGAGGGACACUUCCUUGGGAAAGAGAGAUGAUCCUCCAUCCAGCUUUUUCUGCUGGGAAAGGGAUCGAACCUGCAUAUCCUGCAUUGGAAGUGUGGAAUCUUAACCACUGGACCACCCAGGGAAGUCCCCUUCCUUCAACACGAUUCCUGAUUCUGCAAGAUGGAGUCAUAAUCUCAGGUUUCCUGCUGAGCAGAAGCCUCAGUUUCUUCUUCUGUAAAAUGGG
Molecule: long non-coding RNA, 1294 nt
Filed under: Capra hircus (goat)
Lineage: Eukaryota; Metazoa; Chordata; Mammalia; Artiodactyla; Bovidae
Description: lncRNA (ENSCHIG00010027246.1)
Source: RNAcentral